This 500-nucleotide ribosomal RNA is filed under the name uncultured bacterium. Its description in RNAcentral is "partial 16S ribosomal RNA". It matches the Rfam family "Bacterial small subunit ribosomal RNA", at positions 30 to 523 of the family's 1533-position model. The record is from RNAcentral.
AUUGAACGCUGGCGGCAGGCUUAACACAUGCAAGUCGAACGGCAGCACGGGAGCAAUCCUGGUGGCGAGUGGCGAACGGGUGAGUAAAGUAUCGGAACGUGCCCAGUCGUGGGGGAUAACGUAGCGAAAGUUACGCUAAUACCGCAUACGAUCUAUGGAUGAAAGCGGGGGAUCGCAAGACCUCGCGCGAUUGGAGCGGCCGAUAUCAGAUUAGGUAGUUGGUGGGGUAAAGGCUCACCAAGCCGACGAUCUGUAGCUGGUCUGAGAGGACGACCAGCCACACUGGGACUGAGACACGGCCCAGACUCCUACGGGAGGCAGCAGUGGGGAAUUUUGGACAAUGGGCGAAAGCCUGAUCCAGCCAUGCCGCGUGCAGGAUGAAGGCCUUCGGGUUGUAAACUGCUUUUGUACGGAACGAAAAGGUUUGGCCUAAUAAGCUGAGCUCAUGACGGUACCGUAGGAAUAAGCACCGGCUAACUACGUGCCAGCAGCCGCCGUAA